UACGGAGGAUCCGAGCGUUAUCCGGAUUUAUUGGGUUUAAAGGGUGCGUAGGCGGACUCAUAAGUCAGCGGUGAAAGUUUGCGGCUCAACCGUAAAAUUGCCGUUGAAACUGUGAGUCUUGAGUGUAGAUGAGGUGGGUGGAAUUCGUGGUGUAGCGGUGAAAUGCAUAGAUAUCACGAAGAACUCCAAUUGCGUAGGCAGCUCACUGGGCUACAACUGACGCUGAGGCACGAAGGUGCGGGGAUCAAACAGGAUUAGAUACCCUGGUAGUCCGCACAGUAAACGAUGAAUACUAGUUGUUUGCGAUAUACAGCAAGUGACACAGCGAAAGCGUUAAGUAUUCCACCUGGGGAGUACGUUCGCAAGAAUGAA
RNAcentral lists this ribosomal RNA (372 nucleotides) under uncultured bacterium. Its description in RNAcentral is "bacterial SSU rRNA". It matches the Rfam family "Bacterial small subunit ribosomal RNA", at positions 524 to 898 of the family's 1533-position model. The record is from RNAcentral.